Molecule: ribosomal RNA, 253 nt
Filed under: uncultured bacterium
Lineage: Bacteria
Description: partial 16S ribosomal RNA
Rfam family: Bacterial small subunit ribosomal RNA
Source: RNAcentral
UACGUCGGAUCCGAGCGUUGUCCGGCUUUACUGGGUGUAAAGGGUGCGCAGGCGGACUGGUAAGUCAGAGGUGAAAUCUCGUCGCUUAACGACGAAACUGCCUUUGAUACUAUCAGUCUUGAAUCCGGUAGAGAUCUGUGGAAUUCCGAGUGUAGCAGUGAAAUGUGUAGAUAUUCGGAAGAACACCAGUGGCGAAGGCAGCAGAUUGGGCCGGUAUUGACGCUCAGGCACGAAAGCAUGGGGAUCAAACAGG